RNAcentral lists this long non-coding RNA (5810 nucleotides) under Heterocephalus glaber (naked mole-rat). RNAcentral's name for it is "lncRNA (ENSHGLG00100042177.1)". The record is from RNAcentral. Lineage: Eukaryota; Metazoa; Chordata; Mammalia; Rodentia; Bathyergidae.
CAGCAAUUGGCUAAGGGGCUGCGGCUUUCCGAACCCUCUCUCCCGCCCGUGACUAUGAAUGGACAUCGGCGUUGUCAGUCACCCGUACUGCGCCGCAACCAGGCCCUUGGCCGGUCUUUCUGUCUUUCUUUCGUCGCUGAUUCCUACCUCAUCCUGGGCAAGUUCAGGGUAGCACUUGGGAGCAGAGGAGCUUCGGCAAGGAAAGUCAGCCCGCAUGGCCCUAACGUGACCGUCGGUUAUGGGAGGGUUUUAGGCCUAGGAGGAGCGUGGAAAGCGCACAGAGGAACUAAGGCUUUGCUACCGUUGGUCCAGGCGGACUGUGAGCCUCCAGUUCAAAAGCUGGACAGAGUUGGCGGCAGCGAAAACCGAGGAAUCCCAGCUGCGUCCUUAUCUUCUUCUUCCCACCCCAGGUCAAAGGUAGAACCUGAGCCACUGCCUCUCGGGUGGGACGAACGGAAAAGGUCAUAAGAUCUCGUUGCCAGUCGCUCGAGACGCCCAGCGGCGUCCUGGCGCGGGUCACACAGCACCCUGUAACAGGCCUUCUUGGGUCUUCGCCACUGUGCCGCGUUCCCUGCCCCCGUCUCCCUCCCCAAGCCCUGGAUCCCCGGUCGGUCGCAGCCACAGGUUGCUGCACCCCGGUGCGCGGCGCCCCCCGCCGCGCAGCCUCCGCCGGGAGUUGGAACCCAACAUCUGUGUGCACAAUGCGCUCUCCGAGGCCCACAGCUGCAGGCACAAGGGGAAGAAAGGAAGGAGCGGGGGAGCAGAUCCUGUCACACGCAGAUGACAGUCUGCAGAGGGCUCUUUAGUGUCUCCUUUUCUGGAAGCCCUGGCGCCCCCCUCCCAGUUCCCUCUCCUGCCGCCUCCCCAUUGUUCCUAGCGCUCCGGACAGCUGGAGACGACGACCACACCACCCGCCGCUCUCCCUCCGCUCCCCUCCCGCCGCUCGCCAGGCGUCCCCUCUGGCAAUCCGCGGUCCCCACCAGGGCAGGGCCAGGCGGGGAUGCACCGCCUCGUACCCCACCCCCGGCUCCGCCCCGACCUGCUGGUGCCGGAGCUUCGCCUUCGUGCACCUCUCCGGUUGUCCGCCCCUGGCGGAGUCGGCGGGCAAGGCCCCUGGCAGGGCUUUGAGAAGAGAUCCAGUCCUGCGGCGCGCCGGCCUCUCAGCAGCGCGCUCCGGGGACUCCACUUUCACUUGUAUUUCUUGUUUUUACCGGGCCGGGAAGGCGCGCUUCGCAGAGCCCCAGGGCACGCGGUGCUGCAUGGGCCACGGUCCACGGAGCCACGUGGGGUUCCCUGCUGGCCCAGCCGCAUCCCGCAGCUCAGUUUCGGAGAACCGCGUGAGGACCCGGCAGUGGGCCCCAGGAUCCUGAAGCCACCGAAUACAGGCUGAACCCCAGAGUAGGGCAUGCAGCUCCAGGCCAGAUGGCCAGCUUUGUGUUCUCCACAAAUUGAUGUGACUUGACAAGGCAGAAAAAAAUAUAUCUUUUAAUUCAUGAAAACACUCUGGAAAAGUUUCCUGGCAGUCAUGACUCAGCUAUCUUGAAGAAUGAAUAAUGACGUUAGCUUUGUUAUUUUCUAAUGUUUUGGUCAGGAGGCCCUGGACUUCAUUUAAUAAUAAAUAUGAAUUUGUAUAAUUUUGAUAACAUUUCAGAAAAAUUUCAACACGAUACAAAACAUUUCUGAAACAUGUUGAUUGAAAUCAUUUAUAUAUGACAAAUGAGCACAUGAUUCACACAGAAGUUAGGGUUGCUUGACUAAUGAAUAAAAAAAUCUGGCAUUUGUAGAAUUUCCCAAGACUCACAAAAUGCCUAAACAAUAUAAGUAGUUUAAAAUGAUUUGCCGAUCCCUGCUAAUUCUUCUUUUUAAGUGUGCUUCACAUUUGUCAUGUGUAAAAACUAAUGUGCUGUGAUAAGAAUCUCAUUUUCAAUUUAGGGAACAAUGGACUGGUUGGUAGAGAUCACACAUUUCAGUGAUUAGAAUAAAUCUCCAGUGUUCUAAAUUAUCAAAGAAAACCUAUUUUUAAACAAAAUAGAGAAUGGCUGUUAUGGAAAAUACGAUUAUUAUAAAGCAAAAUACUUUUAGGAACUUAAAAUAUAUGGUAAGGUAGAAAAUAUUUUUUAAAAACCUUUUAAAAACCUGCUUCAUUUCAUAAAAUUCUAAGCCGAUUUUGUUUUUAAAAUAAAUGCUAAUUUAUAUAACUACAGUUCACCAACUAUAUUUCAAAUACUUUGGAUUUGGAAAUCCAUUUAUAAGAAUGAUUUAAAAUUAUAAUUUAAAAAUAGAACUAGAUCUUUGUAAACAUCGUAGCACUCUUCAGAUAGCUACUAAAGAGAAUAACAUUUUGCAGUACCAAGGAGUGAAUGAUGGGAAGCAAAGUGUUUCAUUUGGCCACCCCCCUAGUGACAUGCAGUAAUCAGCCCUGAGGAAACUUAAAAAGGUACUGGUAAGGUCCGUAUGGAAUCUGAAAUCUGUCAGUUGUCAGUAAAUAGCUAUUUUUAAGGCCUCUAUCCGGGUGAACAUUAGAUGGCAGUGAGAAGUCUCCCCUCCCUGUGGGAGAAGCCAGCCCACCACAGCUGCACUGCCGCAUCUUGGAGGAGUCCUUGCCAUGCACCCUGCAGCCCUUGACCCAAGUUUAACCCAAGUUUAUCCCUCUGUGCCGUUGGUUCCCAGCCUGGGAAGAGUCCUGGCGUAAGGACUCUUACGCCAGAAUAUACUGCUAUCAAACCAAGGUCUUAGCAUUAAAGUUCACAGGAAUUGAAAAAUACUGAAUUUAUUUGCUCAAAUAUUUCACUUCAUUAAAAACACGAAGUUUUCAUUCAAAAAAGAAAAAUGCAAGCCACUUUUUUGUUUUAAAAAGAAUUAUCAGAAUCACCUUGCUUUUAUCAGCAUUCAAGUUGGCUCAUAUUCUGAAUGAUCUAAAGUUUUUGAAAUCUCCAAAUAGUAACUCUAUUAUGAGAUAUAGUUGCUGUUCCCCCAGUGGCUUAACAUGAUAACAUGAAACCACAUCCUUAAAAACCAAAAAUGUACUUUAACAUAGAUUUAUGCUUGAUAGGAUGGUCAAAAAAGUCCAGAUUUUUGGACUUUCUUUUUCAAACUUUGACACAAUUCAAAGGACAAGAAAAGUCUCAACACCUUGUGAUUACUAUUACUAGUUUUGUCCGUUGACCACAGUAUUCUAAAAACUACCGCUCACUCUGGAAGGCUGAGGCAGGAGGAUUACAAGUUCCAGCCUAACGUGGGCAACUUAGAGACUAUGAGACCUUGCCCCAAAAUAAAAAAUAGAAAAGGGCUGGGGAUGCAGCUCUGUGCAAAGGCCCCGGGUUCAAUUCCCAGGUCCACAAAACCAACCAACAACAGGAAGAAAAAAAACCCCAUACACAACCACUGUUCAUGGGGACAGUAUUUAUAAACAGAACCAUCUUCCUGGAGUUCCUCUACUUUUCAGUCUACCUCCUUGUAAAGAUCUAGUUUUUAUUAUUUACAAAACAGUGUUACAAAAGGUGUGCUUAAGCACUGAUGUUCAGCGUAGUGCGUGUUUUAUGUUUGUGGACAGACAUAGUUCAGCUAGAAUUCCUUGACCGAACUCUGUGAGACUCAUCCCCAUGCGGCAAGAAGCUGACUUUUUUGAAAGUGGUUAAAUGGUGCCCUUGUGAUCCAGUGAAGGGAAACAAGGUGCUAUGUGGAGAGUUUCCAGGUAUCUCUGUUUUUCAGUUAAAAGCUCUUUCGUGCAUUUUGUCACUUACAAGUUGCAGGUCCAUUAUAGUUGUCUAAAAACAGCUUUUCCCUUGAAUUGCUCUGAAUUAAAAGUAGAACAACAGUUCAGGUAAACGUUUGUUUCACAAUUACAUAACUCGGCGAUGUUUGCAUAGACUCUCAGAAAGGUGCCAAUGUAUAUUUUAAUGCCUGAAGACAGGCUCUGAUGAAAUGAAAGAAUGGCCGCUGCCUACCGAGCUUGCCUCUGUACUGGACUCUGAGGAAAGGAAUCCCUAUAAAGUGCCGUCUCCUGACUAUAUUGCAAGUGGGUUUGUAAGCAUUCAGACUGAACAUGAACGAAGACUCAGAGCAACCAGUUGCCUGGUGUGGAGAAGACACAGAGCUCACCAUCACCCUAUAGAGUGAGUCUCGGUUGUCCAGAGCUCUGUACAAAUUCACUCGCAGCUGCUAGAGCCAGUCGAAUGGAAACAGCAGCUCCUCAUCUACAGACUCAGUCUGACAUGUGCUGCUAUCUACGAGGGAUGCUGGGCGUGGACGAUGCUGUGUGCCGUGCACUCUGACGCGCUUGCAGGCCGUCUCCUUGGCGCAUACGCCCUUCAGCUUUGCCCAGUCAGUUCAGAGAUUCCCAUCUGUAAUCAUCUCCACAGGCACUCCAUCUAAACUGGAAGUCUAAUCUCAUGGCUUUAAAUCGUUCUUUGCUUCUGAUUCCCCCAAACUGGAUAACUUCACUCGAUCACCCCUUGCUUUCUCUGUCCUUUUCUCCAGUUACUUUUGAGAAUUAAAAAAAAAUAUAAACUACCUUUUAAAAGAUCCCUUCCUCCCACUGAGAAUAUGUUUUUAAAAGGCCAUUUCAACAGAUUAGUGCUCUGAGUCUGGUAAGCUGUGUGGGGUGGCAGGGCAAGGCCUACCCUUCUGGGAUGCAUGGGGAGUGGCGUCACCUCUGGAACCUUUACUUUUCCUCUGUUGGGUUCCCAGUUUCCAUGGCGACAAUCUCUCUGUCCUCAAUGUCCAUCUCUAGGGUGAAGCUUGAGGCUUUCCUGUCCUUUGUCCUUGCCCCCCACCAGAUUCUGCCACUUUCUCAGGGUGUCACUUUGUCUGUCCCCAUUCCAAGCCCCACCUGUGUUAAGGGCAUUGGCCCAGGUGGCCCUGAUGACUCCUCCUGCAUCCACUUAGCUGGCUUCCUCCCUCCCUGAGAAUUCAGCACCUCUCCCUGACCUUCAGAGUGUCCCUGCCCCUUGUGUCCCUAUAUGCACUGCAGUCCUUAUCCCUGAUCGACUGCUCCAAAGUUAUUACAUGCAAAAGCCUAGCAAUAAACAAUUCACAAGUCUUCAGUUAUGCACUUGCCUGCUGCCCAACCUGCCCUGCCCUAGAUGGGAAUCAUGCCUGGACCCCCUGGCCAAGAUGUCUACAUGGCCUGCCUGGUUAGUCACUCUGAGCCAUCUCUGCUACCGGAUCAGCUGCUACAGAACCACAAGGCUUGUGUUCAAGUGACCUUUAUACUUAAUGACAGGCCCCAGUGCAUGAGAGCAGCAAUUCACGUAAAGCUUUUCUUUAUGACAUAAACACUCAGUCAUAAGAUCCAUAUUUUUGAAAAUGUUUAUGUACUUCACCUCUCAAUAAUUGAAAGAGAUGUUUUCAAAUCAUCUACUAUCAUGAUGAAUGUUUUGAUUUCUUCCUGUAAUCUUAUCAGUUUUUGCUUUAUGUACUUUAGAGUUAUUUUAAGAGAUGGGGAAGGAGGAAUCAGAUGGGAAGGAGAAAUAAAAAGAAUUAAGAUGCAUUAUAUACAUGCACCAACUCCCCACAAUGAAUGUAAAUCAUGUACUGCAGACAUUGACUAAUGAAAAAAAAUUCAAGUUCAAGGGGCUGGGGAUUUAGCUCAGUGGCACCACACCUGCCUCACAAGCGCAAGGUCCUGAGUUCGAUCCCUGGUACCGCAAAAAAAAAAAAAAUUUUUUUUUAAGUUCAAACAAAACAAGAAAAGCCAAAGAAAAGCCACACAAUGCUUCCUUCAAGUGAAGAGGUGAGGGUGCUCAAUUAAGGAGAGGGAAAAUCAUAUGUUGAGGUAACGGAGAUCUACGGUGAGCACAAGACACAGC